RNAcentral lists this long non-coding RNA (3054 nucleotides) under Homo sapiens (human). Its description in RNAcentral is "HSALNT0379746". The record is from RNAcentral. Lineage: Eukaryota; Metazoa; Chordata; Mammalia; Primates; Hominidae.
AGGAGAUUACAAAGGUGGUCCUGACCUUUGAUAAAUCUCAUUAUUGCUUGAUACCAACCUGGGCUAUCUUUAUUGCCCAAACCAAUAGGAUAAUGUGCUGAGGUUAGGGAGCUUCUCCCCUGCAGAGAAUCCCUGAUCUCCCAAAAUUUGGUUGAGAUCUAAGGUUGAUUUUGCUAUACAACUCCUUUUCUGAAGUUUUACUUAUUUCCAACAAGGCAAGUUUUCCUGCUUCCGUGAUGAUGGAGAGCAGGCACCUCCUUUCUUGAGUUUCAGCUUGCUUCUGACAGGGAAGGUGAGUGUAAGUUUUUUCCAGCUUCUAAGAUGGCAGAGAACAAUCACCAGCCUGAGACUUAUUUCCAGCAGAGCUGGAAGCUGUAUCUUCAAAAUAUGUCUGUUUGACUCAAAACAAUCAAGGUAUUCAACAGGAGUUAUUAUGUAUGAAAAAAUACAACAGGAAUGUAAAAAUCUUGAGGAGGCUAAAAAGAUGUUGGAAAAAGUAAUAUUAAAUCUUAAAAAACGUAUGGAAAGUACACAUUGGUGAAGACACAUUGGUGAAGUACAAAAAUAUAAAUUGGAUCUAGAAGAAAGGGCAAUGCAGGCAAUGGAAAAAUUAGUACAAAUCCCUUUACAGGUUAGUUUGUAAAAUCAGGUAAGUUUAUUUAUAAUGUGCUUUCACUUAUUUCACUGCAAUGGCUCUCUUAUAGUAAUUUGCCUUGUAGAGUUCUAGCAAAGAGGUGGCAUCUGUUUUUACUUUUAUAUGUUUAAAUUUCUAUCAUUAUAACAAAAUCGAUUUUUCACAGUAAUGAUUCUCAGUGUGGAGUCAUUUGAUUAUUAAGACCCAUUGACAUGAGAUUACAUCCUCUGCCUAUAAAAAUCCUGGAAGAAAACCUAGGAAAUAUUCACCUGGACAUUGCACUUGGCAAUGAAUUUAUGGGCUGUUUGGAAUCCUGUAGAUAGAGUUUUGGAGAAUUAGACAAAACACUCACAGAAACUGCCAACCCUUGGAUGAAAUAUAUUGUUACUGUGCUUUGGGAUUAAAAUAAGUAACUACAGUUUAUAGAACUUUUAUACUGAUACACAGACACUAAAAAGGGAAAGGGUUUGGAUGAGAAGCUCUGCUCUGCAACCAGGAAUCUCAGCCACUCAUUUCUGUUGGAGCUGCAGGAGCUCCCUGUAAAGAGAGAUUAUGGAGUCUGUAGCUUCAGGAAAGAUACUUAAAACCCUUCAGAGUUUCUCCAUUUUUUCCCAGAGUUUCCCCAAAAAGGUUAUGACAUUUUAUAAGAAUGCUUCACUUGUGAAAAACUAAUACCAAGUCUUCUUGUAAUUUAUAUUUAAGGAUAAAUCUUUAUUCCAUGUUUAAUUUAUUUCACUUAUCCUGUAACUAAUAUUUCAUGCUGAACACAUUUUAAAUGCUGUAAAUAUAGAUAAUAUAAUUUAUGGAUCAUUAAUGCCUCUUUAGUAGUUUAAUGUCAAAAGAAAUGACCCCAGAAUAAGCUUCUUGAUUUGUAAAAUUCUAUGUCAUUGACUCAAGUUUGUAUGGCAUCUCAAAAUAUAAAUAUAGACAUCUCAGAUAAUAUAUUUGAAAUAGCAAAUUCCUGUUAGAAAAGAAUAGUACUUAACUAGAUAAGAAUAACAGGUCACCAUUAUUUGAAUUGUCUCCUAUUAAUUUUUGUUCUGUUGUGUUACUCAUGUUUUACUUAUGGGGGAUAUACAUAACUUCUGCUGUUUUCAGAAUUAUUGUAUGCAGUCAGUAUGAGAAUGCAAUUUUAGUUUCCUUGAUGCUUUCUCACACCUCUAUUACUAGAAAUAAGAAUACAGUAAUAUUGGCAAAGAAAAUUGACCAGUUCAAUAAAUUUUUUUAGUAAAUCUGAUUGAAAAUAAACAUUUCUUACGGCUUUCUUACAUCAAUAUUGUUAUGUCUUAGACUACCGUAUCUGAAAUUAAGGCUUUGAAAUUCUAAUUAUGUGCAAAUGUGUAAAAUAUCAUCACCUAACGCUAUAUAAUAUAUUCUAUUUCUAUACUGUGAUGGCAGGUUUAUAAUUCUGGAAAGAUAUACACAACAUAAAAUUUACCUUUUUAAUCACUUUAAGUGCACAGUUUUGUGGCAUUAAGUAUAUUUGCACUAUUGUGCAACAGUCACCACCAUAGACCUCCAAAACUUGUCUUCUUCUCCAACUAAAAUGCUUUACUCAUUGAACACCAACUUCCCAUUCCUCUCCCUCUCCUUCCCCCUAGCAAUCACCAUUCUACUUUCUGUCUCUACAAAUUUCACUAAGUAACUCAUAGAAGUGGCAUGAUAGAAUGUUUGAAUUUUUCUGACUGGCUUAUUUCACUUAGCAUGUCUUCAAGUUUCAUCUAUUUUGUAACAUGUGUGAGAAUAUAUUUUAAGGCUGAAUAUUAUUAUGUUGCCGUAUAUACCACAUUUUGUUUAACCACUCAUCCAUCAAUAUUCACAUGGGCUGCUCCCUCCCUUUGAUUAUUGUGAAUAAUAUUGCUAAUGGACACGCUGCACAAACAUCUUUUUGGUCCCUCCGCUCAUUUAUUUUGGAUAUGGAUUUGCAUUUUAAUACAAAGGAGAAAUUACACAGCUUUUUAAAAGUGUCCAAAUAAAAAGGAGCACAACAUCAGUAAAAUAUUAGAAAGUAGAUUGGGGGGAAAACAGGGAAGGAAUUGAACCAAAAGUCAAUAAGCUGCAUAAGAGAGUUGCAAGAGGAGGAAAAAAUUGACAAUAUUAACAUAGAAUUAAAGAGCGAUAGGUCGAUAUUUAGAAAAUUGUCGCAUGUACUCAUAUGUCGCCUGUGAACUGACAUUUACAUUAUUUUAUUAUUCCAGGUUUCCAAAAGUAAGUGCAAUAUGAGAGUUUCAUGAUGCUAAGUAAACUGAAACAUGCUAUAUAUUUUGAUAUAUUGUCCUUGAGAGGAGGCUGAGUGGUAAUUAGUGCAAUUUUAAAUUAUGAUAUGAUAAUGCAGUCAAUCUGCCAAACUGAAAAAAAGUAUAUAUACAAUAUGUAUACAUUUCUCGCAAAAUUCAGUUUUAUCAUACAAUUAAAUUAUG